CACAAGGGUUGGAAACAAAAAAACACAGGACACACGGGUACGUAUGCAUCGAAGGAGAGCCGGGGUACGGCCGCCGCCGCCGCCGCCGCCACCUGCGGAUGGUCUUCCUGUCCGGCCAUCCGCGCAGCCCACGCGGGCGAGCUGCCGAUCUGGCUGGGCUGCCUGGCCACGCAGCGGACGGCAGCUGUUCGAGCAACUCCUCGACGCAGGGGAAAAGGUUGGCGGCGCUGGAGUUCGUCGGAACGGGCAGGCGGCCGGUGGGUGACGCGAGGCCGCGGCGCCGGCGCGAGGAAUACGGGCGGAUCCGGGGGCGGCAGCGACCGAUCUGGCUGCUGGUGCGGCGGCUUGCUCCGGCGGCGGCGGCGUCCUGCUCAUUCAUAGAAACAGAGACACGGCGUGAGGGAGAGAGGAAGAAAGGAGAAGGAGCAGGGGGCGCAAGGUCAGGGAGGCUGUCGCUAGCGGUGGCGGCUCCGGCGACCGGCCGGCGGGCUUCCCAGGCAAGGCUAAGGAGUACGCUAGCCUGAGAUUCAAUAGAGACACGGUGAUUCUGGUCGGAGUGGUGGCUACGUGAUUCUGGCCGGCGUGCAUCCAUAGUCAGAGGAUGCCGAGCCUUCCUCGCUGCCAGCAACAUCAGCUCGUCUCGGCAUGAGAGGGGAAGAUAGCCUUCCUGGCAGUUAGAGCUUCGUCACUUGGAAGGUAGACAAGCAAUGCAAGCCAACAAAGAAAAUUAGUUAGGGAAGCACCGAGUUCGCCGGGAGGUAGCAGAACGUUUGUCGAGCCAUCCAAUAUCGCCAACGGUGGCUACACCAGAGAGUUUACAAACAAGUGUGAAACCUAUAAUGAUGAGUGAUGAUUAUGGUAUGAUUACUGGAUCAAUAAUUCAUAGCAAGGAAGCUAUUUUACUGGAAAAAGUAAAUCCAGUAUUAAACUUAGUAAAUUGUUGGGUAGAUCAGGUUAGAUGCGGCUUAAACCUUCGCCGCUCCCUGCCAUUUAGUACUGGUUGGAGUCUGUUUGAGCUGACCAAUGUGGAGCAGAGUCGCAAUGGAGAUACCCAGUCUCACAUGCUUUAUUCUACUUCUUGUAGUAUAACAGAGCUUGGUUGUAGCUAACUGUGCCCUCAGUCAGUCCCUUAAGAUUUUGUGUAUUUAGAAAUUUAUUUAGAGAUGGUAAAAUAAAGAUCUUGAUGUAUUGACGGUUUGCGGUA
Long non-coding RNA from Aegilops tauschii subsp. strangulata, 1204 nucleotides. RefSeq lists it as uncharacterized. The record is from RefSeq and is a predicted model, not a curated record. NCBI's taxonomy places the organism in Eukaryota, Viridiplantae, Streptophyta, Magnoliopsida, Poales, Poaceae.